RNAcentral lists this ribosomal RNA (472 nucleotides) under uncultured bacterium. RNAcentral's name for it is "bacterial SSU rRNA". It matches the Rfam family "Bacterial small subunit ribosomal RNA", at positions 355 to 825 of the family's 1533-position model. The record is from RNAcentral.
UGGGGAAUUUUGGACAAUGGGCGCAAGCCUGAUCCAGCCAUGCCGCGUGAGUGAAGAAGGCCUUCGGGUUGUAAAGCUCUUUCGGCGGGGACGAAACGGUUCGUGACAACACCACGGACUAAUGACGGUACCCGCAUAAGAAGCACCGGCUAACUACGUGCCAGCAGCCGCGGUAAUACGUAGGGUGCAGGCGUUAAUCGGAAUUACUGGGCGUAAAGCGUGCGCAGGCGGUUGUGUAAGUCAGAUGUGAAAUCCCCGGGCUCAACCUGGGAAUUGCAUUUGAGACUGCACGGCUAGAGUGUGUCAGAGGGGGGUAGAAUUCCACGUGUAGCAGUGAAAUGCGUAGAUAUGUGGAGGAAUACCGAUGGCGAAGGCAGCCCCCUGGGAUAACACUGACGCUCAUGCACGAAAGCGUGGGGAGCAAACAGGAUUAGAUACCCUGGUAGUCCCUGAGCGGGCUGGCAAGGCGCAU